UACAGAGGGGGCAAGCGUUGUUCGGAAUUACUGGGCGUAAAGGGCGCGUAGGCGGCCUGUUAAGUCGGACGUGAAAUCCCCAGGCUCAACCUGGGAACUGCGUCCGAUACUGGCAGGCUUGAGUCCGGGAGAGGGAUGCGGAAUUCCAGGUGUAGCGGUGAAAUGCGUAGAUAUCUGGAGGAACACCGGUGGCGAAGGCGGCAUCCUGGACCGGUAUUGACGCUGAGGCGCGAAAGCCAGGGGAGCGAACGGG
RNAcentral lists this ribosomal RNA (253 nucleotides) under uncultured bacterium. RNAcentral describes it as "partial 16S ribosomal RNA". It matches the Rfam family "Bacterial small subunit ribosomal RNA", at positions 524 to 776 of the family's 1533-position model. The record is from RNAcentral.